ACCCCCUCCCCUCUCUUUUCUCAUUUGUUGAAUGCUGCAGAGCCCCUCUCGAAUUUAUUCUCAGAAACAGAGGGCGGCGGCGGCGGAAGGCGCGGCCUCGCCGACGAGCCCACAUAAGCUGUCCCCUCCCCCGUUUAUCUCUCCCCUGUUCUCAUCAGUUUUCUUAGCCCCUCUCUUUCCCUGGUCCAGGCAGCACGGAGUCUGGAGAUGGAAAGCGGCGGCGGCGCAGCCUCAUCCACAAGGGAUUCCCCAAAGUCUCCUCCCUCUAUCUACUCCCUGCCUCCGAUGGGUCCAACCUGCAGGUCGAUUCAUUUGGCUACAAGAAUAUGUACAGGUUAUACUCUUAUGCAGUGUUUUUUGUUUACUUCUCUUUUGAAUGUCUUAAUUUCAAUGGUCAUUUGGUUUGCAUGAUUCACUGCAAGUUGCCUUGGAUCCUGAAAUCGAUGAUGUAGCAGUGGAUAGUGAAAAGAAGCUACACAUGUAUCCAUUUCUCAGUGAACUUUAAAUAAUGAACUACUUUGGGUUGGCUCCUAAAGAGAUCAUGCAUCUUCAUUUUCUUCCCCUCUUCAGACUUGCAGGAGUGUGGUCAUUAUACCACUUUUAGUUCAGAUUGUGUUUACAAGGCUCCUAUUUCUACUUAUAUUUGAGCUACGUCAUUUUACUGUUUACCUGUGCUUGUGUUCAUCCAUCAUCACCCGUUGUAUUUCCCUCACUUUUAUAGAGUACCAUUAAUCCCCUGAAAACCAUAAUUUAAUAUUUUAGGAGCUACAAACUCAUAUCUUAGUAUAUUCAUGAAGUCAUGAUAAAAUUUUCCUAUAAGCUUUGCAUCAAAGAAUGCAGACUUUCAUGAUAAUUUAUUUUAUAAGUUCUUUCGUGCUUUAUGUUGCUUUGUGUCCCUGAGCUGUUACGGUUUAGAAACUGCAAAUCUAAUAAACUAUGGCAAUUGGGUAUCUUGCUUUGGAAGGUAUCAGGUUUUUAGCUUGUCUGUUGCUGGCGUUAUCAAAUCACCUAAGGCUUUCAGUAAAAGUUGAAUGAAAAGGUAGAAUUUUUUCUACUUGGUUUCUAGACUGUGAUGAUUAGUUUUGUAAUAUUACUGUAGCGAGCUUUUGAACGAAGAAUCUGACGGCUUUAAAGCUCUCUAUUGAUGAGACAUUGUUGUCAGAUCUUGAAUUUACGGCAUCCCAUAGAGUUAUAUUACAAUAUUUUCUUAUAUUUUCUUGAUGCGUGUUCACCUUUUCUUUUGUUUGUUUGCCUACUAUCUAUAUACCAUGUGUGUUUUGCUCUAUA
Panicum virgatum (switchgrass) is the source of this 1287-nucleotide long non-coding RNA. RefSeq lists it as uncharacterized. The record is from RefSeq and is a predicted model, not a curated record. NCBI's taxonomy places the organism in Eukaryota, Viridiplantae, Streptophyta, Magnoliopsida, Poales, Poaceae. The transcript is spliced from 2 exons.